UGUCAAAGAACAUUCUGAGGAAGGAGAAGAUAAGAGAACAAAGCCUAGGAUGAAAAAUUAUUGGCAUAACGGAAGACAAGGAGAAAGACAUUUCUCAGAAAUGACAGUGUAAGGCACUUGGCCUUAACAAACAAGAAGACAAAAGGAGACAACCGAAUGACUUUCUUAUUGCUUAUUCUGGUCACAAAUUCCCAUCGAGGAGAAGAAAUCAGGUGUUUACUGUAUCUAUAGCAGCAAGAUUGGAACCAGCCUUGGAGAUCUUCCAUCACAUUUGCAUUAGGUUUAGUGGAUUCCCAUAGACUUCAAUUCUUCACACACUUUUCAAAGCUAGGUCUCAUGCAAAAUACUCAUAAACUGCCAGUAAGAUUUGCAAGGAUUCAUAAGUGAUUAUCUACAUGGUUGUGAAGCUGUUACUUGAAAUACUCAAACCAACAUUUCUUGCAUAUAACUAAUCCUUUCAGUUGCAGAAAGUAGUCUGAUGUAUGUGCUUCAUAUUUGGGGAAAAAACUACAUAUUAGCAAACCAAA
Pantherophis guttatus is the source of this 527-nucleotide non-coding RNA. The record is from RefSeq and is a predicted model, not a curated record. Lineage: Eukaryota; Metazoa; Chordata; Lepidosauria; Squamata; Colubridae.